This 68-nucleotide transfer RNA is filed under the name Entemnotrochus adansonianus. Its description in RNAcentral is "tRNA-Pro". Lineage: Eukaryota; Metazoa; Mollusca; Gastropoda; Pleurotomariida; Pleurotomariidae. The record is from RNAcentral.
CGAAGUAGUGGUUUAAUUAAAAUUUUGGCAUUGGAAGCUAAGGAUUGGGGAUGACCCCCACUGUUCGA